RNAcentral lists this ribosomal RNA (619 nucleotides) under Pseudomonas veronii. RNAcentral's name for it is "bacterial SSU rRNA". It matches the Rfam family "Bacterial small subunit ribosomal RNA", at positions 57 to 671 of the family's 1533-position model. The record is from RNAcentral. Lineage: Bacteria; Pseudomonadati; Pseudomonadota; Gammaproteobacteria; Pseudomonadales; Pseudomonadaceae.
GCAAGUCGAGCGGUAGAGAGAAGCUUGCUUCUCUUGAGAGCGGCGGACGGGUGAGUAAUGCCUAGGAAUCUGCCUGGUAGUGGGGGAUAACGUUCGGAAACGGACGCUAAUACCGCAUACGUCCUACGGGAGAAAGCAGGGGACCUUCGGGCCUUGCGCUAUCAGAUGAGCCUAGGUCGGAUUAGCUAGUUGGUGAGGUAAUGGCUCACCAAGGCGACGAUCCGUAACUGGUCUGAGAGGAUGAUCAGUCACACUGGAACUGAGACACGGUCCAGACUCCUACGGGAGGCANCAGUGGGGAAUAUUGGACAAUGGGCGAAAGCCUGAUCCAGCCAUGCCGCGUGUGUGAAGAAGGUCUUCGGAUUGUAAAGCACUUUAAGUUGGGAGGAAGGGCAGUUACCUAAUACGUGAUUGUUUUGACGUUACCGACAGAAUAAGCACCGGCUAACUCUGUGCCANCAGCCGCGGUAAUACAGAGGGUGCAAGCGUUAAUCGGAAUUACUGGGCGUAAAGCGCGCGUAGGUGGUUAGUUAAGUUGGAUGUGAAAUCCCCGGGCUCAACCUGGGAACUGCAUUCAAAACUGACUGACUAGAGUAUGGUAGAGGGUGGUGGAAUUUCC